Molecule: long non-coding RNA, 11996 nt
Organism: Halichondria panicea
Lineage: Eukaryota; Metazoa; Porifera; Demospongiae; Suberitida; Halichondriidae
Exons: 3
Source: RefSeq, a predicted model, not a curated record
CGCAUAGUAUACUGGGAAAACUUGGAAACAUAAAAAGGCGGGCAUUUAGCGGACGCGAGGCGUGGAUGUUGUAGAUUGCAUUCACGUAGACUAAUCCCUCUCUUCCUUUAUAUAAUUAUGAUCGUACAAGUCGUUUCAAAUACCCACUCCCUGAUCACGUUCGAAAGAUCUGCCACACUCACUACCAUUUAAGUCAUGCAUGGAAACACUUCGAGACAAUAGCUACAUUUCAGGGGAUUAACUUACUUCCUUUCAGUGUCGAACUUGAAGUACAGCACUCAACACUAUGCUGCUCGUUCAACCUUUGCUACCAGUUAUCAUACGAGCAUGGCUAAAUAACUAAGUUAAACAUGUCAAAUCUUUUGUGACGACAACUGGAUAACUCAGUACCACAGCUUCCGACUCCACAAGACAAACCAGUCCUCAGUCCUCGUGAAAGUGAAAAUGAUGACCAACAAUGGAUACAACUCUGCCAACUUAAAUUAACCCCCACCCCAAAAUGAUACCGGGCCCAGAGGAGGUCCGACAAGGUCAAAAGGUCUGACAGAUCUGCCGUGCAUAAUAUGUACUUUGAACCGUGCGCCAAAUAGAAUAUAUCAUUAUUUACACCAAGAUGGAUCCUUAUCCGGACUGCCUGUUGAAUGAGGACAGAAGUGCGUCUUUCAACAACUAAUAAAGUGCAAGAUAGUUGUGUAAGCAUUCAUUGUGUAAGCAUUUAUUUAAUAUAUAUAGCUACAUAGUACAUGUAUUAUAAAAUACCUGCUGUCUUUUAAAUUCCUGUACAAGGAGGAACGCAAACACAACAGACUUGAUGCGCCACUCUAGUGACAACGAAAAUUGUGACAGUAAUUACAAGACAGUGAUUACAAGGGCAAUGGUCAGUGGUGGAAGAGAAUGGGACCAGGGCGAAAUGGAAAGACAGUUGGCUAUGUUGUCAUUGAAAUACUUGACCAUGUUCAUACAACAAUCAGCUCAGGCACUGCCAUGGCCAUUACGCUGAUAACAAAGACUGGACCAUAUAGCUGCCUGUGAAACGUUACCAGAGCACAAUACUGUAUUGUGUGCAUUAAACUUUAUACUCAAAUGAAAGAGUGUUCAUGUGCUUGGGCUUUAUAUAAUGAUGGAGUCUUGCGAGCGGCCCUUAUUCGAGGUUAAUAGGUAGUGGCCUGUAGUUUUAGGUGGUUCCCUGAGGUCAAAAGUUCACUUGCUAUUUUCGCUUCGAAAUAGAGCUGUACCUUGGAGGUACAAUCAAGUUCUAGUGUAAUGAAUAACCUGUUACAAUUAUUAAAAUUAUUAAACGGGGUACAGUAGCAAACAGGAAUUCCUAUACAAAACAUAAGCUCACGUGAUAAAUUCAUUAGUGACCUUUUGACCUUGUCAUAUCGGCAACAGAUAUCCUCACAGCGUCGUCUUUCAAAUACCACCUUCCAACAUUAAUGUGCAGCGUCAUGCCGAACGUUCUUAACAUCUGUGGUUGUCUCUGCUUUGUAAUUAUCAAUACAAAAUAUUCGAAAUGUCAAUGAUAGGACAGAAAACCUUGGCCUGGGUUGACAAACGAUUUCGGCAGGGAAGUGGUAAACUAACCCCAAUUUUAGGUGAAAUGUCGCUUGAAAACCUACGUACUUUAAUGAUACUUCAGCCAUAACCAAUUCAAUAAUUCGUCAACUGUUGUUGCGUCUGCAACGACGACUGGCAAACAUUGCUACUUAUAAUUAUAGCUCUUCUACACGCUGAUUAUCUAGCCAAAGUCAUGCUGGUUGCCAAUAUAAUUAUUAUGGCCGGAAAUAGCAUCAGGCAUUGUUCAUCAAAUUUUAUACCAAUUAACAUUUAUUGCUGAUGUUACCAAAUUGUGCCCCAAUUGCACCGCUCACAUUCGAAUGGACUUCAACAAACAGCACACCUCGAUACAUAAUCACUAUACCAAGGCCAAACACUGUGGAUUGAAUCAGUUUCAUGUUUUCCACGUCUUCAGUGUGGUCCAAUGCAAGACUUCACCACCACUACCAUAUUAUUUUAAUUAUCCAUGAUGAUAAUUUUGUUUGCAGGAAAGGUAUAGUUAAACCUUUCACGCAAGCACACUUCAUUAAACAUCCACGUGUAAUGUGUAAACCAUCUUUACUAACUUGAAGCCCAUCUCUAUCGAUCAGGCAUCCAGGAAAAGAAUCUUCGAAGAAUAAUAUUAUGCCAAGCUCAUGUCGGGCAAGUACUUUGAUGGCACACUUCCCUUCGUUUUGUCUAAACAGCAAUAGUGAGUGAAUGGUUAGUAGUGCUACAGUGGUUAAUUUCAACAUUCAAAAGACGGUUUUUUUCAACAUGCACAAUUUCAUCAGAGGGCCAAAACUUUGGAGACAGAUAGAAGAAAUGUUAAGCUUUGCAUGUAGCAGUUUGCCCUAGACAUCACUCCCCACCAAACAUAUAGUCUAUAAUUACCUGCUUAAGGACUAACAUAAUUAUAAUAUGUAUGCCCUAGUAUUAUGCCAAACCGCUACUUUGCCUCAAGGCACGAGGGAUACGGUAAAGCUAACUGUGUGUGUGUGUGUUCCAGCUGUAACUGCUCAACAGUUGUAAUGCGACAAAAACUAAGGCUUCUAGCCAUGUUCUCUUGGAUUUUGAUUCGUGGAUUAGCAAUUAAAUUAAACUAAAGCUUCUUUGAGCAGUUACAGCUGGAAUACACACACGCGCUUUGGUUGUUUCACAAGAAAUGAGUGUUGCACUGCUAAUGCCUCUCGCCAUGUUUUUGCUUUCGCAAAAUAUUACCUAACACUCUAAUACUUUUGAGCGAAAGCAAAAACAUGGUGAGAGGCAUUAGCAGUGCAACACUCGUUAUUCAUUGCAUUUCGUUAUCAGCCGCAAAUGUACAGAGCACGUAGCACAUUAUAAACAAGGACAUUAGGAAAUGUGGUAAGACGAUAGUGAAUCCGCAAUACUCUAGAACAAAAUAAAUGAUGUUACUCCCAAGUUUAUUUAACAGAUUUUAGUAGUUAGCUUCCGCCCCGUGACGUAACGUGAACACCCACACACCGGUAUUUUAUACGUUUGCACAUGCCAAGCUAGGUGGCAUUGAAACGCGAAAUUUUGCCGCUAUACCACUUCAAGUGUAAGAACUGUUUUAAUAAUAAAUUGUGGCUCAUAACAGUUGUAUUGAUCUACACUAUACAGUCAAUUCACUUAGACACUCGCUCUGCUCUGCUUGUGGAAGAGCCAUUACUGAUCACUGAGUGUAAUGCCGGGGUGGUCAGUUUUCUUCCCAGGAAAAUCAAUUUGUGGAAGAUCAGAUGUCCAAUCACCAUGACAACCAGGACAUUUAAUAGACACUCUAUUAUGGAGAAAAAUAUUUACAACCAUGAACACAUUAUUUACAAACUGUUAUCUGUACGUGUAAUAGUUGUGCCAUGGAAUCUAAGGCAGGGGCGGAUCCUUGCAGGACUUUUGAAAAGGGGGGCAAUUGAAAGAAACACUUUUACUUUUUAAAGCUUGGCUUUUCUGGUCAUGGGUUGGUUGAUGACCAUACAAUAUGACAUACAUAGUAUACAGUGGCAUAGCCAGGAUUAUGGGAAGGGUAGGGCUCAAAUUAGUUGAGCAUAGGCACUGAAUUUCAUAGACUAAAAAAAAAGGUCAUCACUUUUCCUCAUUUCCACAGCAGUAAGCAUGCGCAUCAGAUGGCCCUGCCCACAUUUCAAUUAGAUUACAUGGCAUCAUUUUAGUAACUAUGCAUGCAGUAUUAUCAAGCGAGAGAAGUGGGUGCCGUUUGUGUCAAAAUAUUGAAAUAAAAACACAAGGUUUUGGUGGUAUUUAGUACACAAGAUCAAAGCACUCCAGUGCUCAGUAUAUGGCAUGUUGCAUCACUGCCAUAGCUACCAUAUAUUGCAUUGUAUUAUAAUUUUGGGACUUAUGCCCCACCAUCCAACCCAAUAACUCAUUUGGUCCCUUUUAUAGGCUACUACUUUUAUAACUACUAGUGGGAAGAAAACCUAAAAAUUUACUAUGGAAUUCAAAAAGUAAUGAAUACACUAAAUUCCUUCAAAACAUUCCUUCAAAACACAUGUCUUUUAAUAUGACCAGUCAGACGUCAUUGGGCAACAAGUUAGUUAUUGCAGGCGCCCUCGUGCAACAUGCCAUAUAUUGCACUGGAUGACAUAAUGCCCGAGGGCCGCAUUAUAUUGCUCCAGUGCAAUAUAUGGCAUGUUGCACUCUGGCUGGGCAAUACGUAUUUAGGUGUGGGGGUAUUUAGCAAACAACUGAGGGUAAUUAGCAAACGACUGAGGGCAUUUAGUGAAUGACUGAGAGUACUUCAGCAAAUGGCUGAAGGGAUUUAGCAAAUAACUGAAGGCAUGUAGUAAAUGGCUGAGGGGACGACUGAGGGUAUUCUCUUCAGCAGGUCAAGGUCAACACUAUAGGCGUUUGUCUAACAAAUUCAUCUGGGCACAGUAGAGCUCUAGCUAUAGCUACAGAAUUCUAGAAGAAGUCGUGCACACUGUGCAUGCGCACAACCUUGUGCCCUGCACACCUCCCUAAUACUAGGAGUAUAUUACAGAUUAGUCAGUUAUGUACUAAAUACUCUCUGUCAUUUGCUAAAUACCCUCAGUUGUUUACUAAAUACCCCCCAGUCCUUUGCUAAAUACCCUCAAAUGUUUAGUAAAUACCACCAAAACCUUGUGUUUUUGUAAUCAAUAUUUUGACACAAAAGGCACCCCAUAGAAUAUGGAGUGUCGAACUACUGAUACUUCUAAACAAACACUGUGCACAAAGUAACAUGACUCGCACGUGAUAAAGUAUUGUAAAUUUACUGUAAUCUCCUAGUAAAUGUUAACCGUGACGUUUUUAGGGGUGUGGUUUUCAAACAAUUCUAGCUAUUAACUGUUCAAUGUUCGCGUUCAACAUUCAGAGCUUAUGGAGCUGCUCACUGCACACUGAUAGGAGACGAUCUCUUCACAAAAAACAUCUAAACAGAGACAAUAGUCGAGUUGAUCCUCUUCACUUGCACUCUUUACUCACUAUUAACAACUUCUGUGCGUUGCGUAAUUAUGCGCAAACGUCAUCAAUUGCGAGUUGCUCACGUACAAUUGACAGAAUGUCACGAUACUUUGCACAGUGUUUGUAGAAGUAUCAGUAGUUUCGACACACUUCUCUUCUUAUGCACUCUUGGUAUUAUACUGCAGAAUACAUUGACAGAUCACAGUGAUUCAAGCAAGUUGGAGUUGAUGGAGCACAAAAGGGGGGGCUCUAGCCCCGUGAUCCCCCCUCUGCCUACGCCACUGGUAUAGUAGGAAAUGCAUGAAGUCAUCUUUCUAUUCAGCUUCAAAAGUCUACAACUAGAUUGUCCGCUAUUCUUCUGCAUGCUAUCAGCUAGAUUGCAUUAGCAGGCAUAUACUGUGACGUGUGCUGCUCUAAGCCACACCUACCAGUGGCAGAUUUAGUAAGAGGUAAGGAGCACCCCACGCGAAUCGAGGGUUACGCCCCUUUUGACGUCAUUUCCGGUGGGUGCGGUAUCAAUGUGACAUUAAUCAUUCCUGUGUUAAGUAGCAUUGCAGAGGUUCCCUACACUCCGUAUUUACUUGUCGAGUCUAGCAGUGCAGCUAGUCAAGCUUUUAUCAUAGCUGGUCUACAGCUACUCAGCUAGCUAGUACCAAGUCUGAGAGUGACUUCCACAGCCAAUGAGUUAUUUGUCCAAGGCUUGGACACCCUCUGCUACCAGCUAGAUCCGCUUCUGCCUACUUUGUUGAAAGUUACCUAGAGUACACAGAUCUUAUCCGAGCUACUCUACAGUCAUAAGGGAGGGAGGGCACAUGCCCCUUGUGCCAUGCACUGGAUCUACCACUGAUCUAGGGUGUACUGCAGUUCUAUGCAUUCCCGAGGGCAGCACAUAUCAUGUACCAUAUAUGGGCAUGCAUUCUUUUGCUUUCCACAAUGUUUGAAAAAAACGAGAUUAUCCAUAUAUAGGCAUGCAUUCUUUUGCUUUCCACAAUGUUUCAAAAAAUUUUUGAAAGAGAGAUGAUCGGGCAUGGUUGUAAACCACAACCACCUAUACGGUACAUCGGUACACGGCCUAGAGUAUACUGAGAGUUUCAAUUGUAUCAGCGCACAUCAUGUAUAGUACAAGUAUAUAAUGCCGUAUACAGUGGAACCUCUUACAACGGACUCUCUAAAUAGCGGACCCUUCUGUUAUAGCGGACAGUAUGCCUUGUACCAACUGCUUUUACUAUCUAUUUGCAACCCCAGAUAGGGGACAGCUCUAAACUCUGGAUAACGGAACAGCCUUGCACGAAAGAUACAUUCAGUGUAAGAAUUAACUUCCUAUAACAGAUGAAGGGUGUGGUAGUGGUGGUGGUGGUUGACGUCGAGGCAAAGGAGCUCUACCUGGACUUCUGGUGAACAUGUAGGCUUUGAUACUUGGCGUGGAGUCUUGGCAGAUGCUGAGGGACGUCGACUCACAGCAGCAACAGCCAGGAGUGACUAAACUGGAGCCUGGACGGUCGAACUUAAAUCUAGCUUUCUUGCGUGUCGACCAUUAGACGUCUUUAUCAGAGUGAAUGCACAUUGACCUUAUGUGACGAUUAAUCAGGUCCAGAUAUUUUGAUUUACUGAGCGAGGAUUUAUUACAUUUAAUGUACCCCUAGUUAUUCUUGUCAUGUGUGCAUGCACAGUUCAGAUCCAGUCUGCGAUACUAGAAUGACUCUCAAUGAGCCACGCCCAUCAAUAAUACAGGUAUAUAGCCUAUGCAUGCAAACGAUGUCUGGAGCUCUUAAAAAUGAACUGGUAACUAGUCUUGACAUAAUGCAUCAGUGGACAGAACAAGAUAACAAGGUAGGCUAUCUGAAUGUUUCUGCUAAUCAGCAAAGCAAAAAGUUUUGAACCACGUGGACACUUUAUGCGAAAGUAUACUCACACUCAGGUGUUUGGUAUGAAUAUCAUUAAAUGUGGCUGAAUAUUUGUCCGGAUACAGUGGAUUGCAGUGCACUUGCAACAGAAAAUUGCCAAACAGCAAAACCGCCAGAUGAAGCUAUUAUCCUAAGCUUAGCUUGCACUUUUAUUACUGAAUGAAUCCCCUGGCAGCAACUGCAUGAAAACAGGAUAUAUGUUAUACUCAUUGUCCACUACAUCAGAAUUUAUGGCAGUAAACCUCCGAGGACGAGGGCGAAGCCCCGAGGCCAAGGAUGGUUUACGUUUGCCAUAAAUUCAAAUGUAGUGGACAAUAAGUGUUAUUAUAUACCCACUUGAGAAAAGUACUUGCUAAGCUACCUCACCUUGGAUACAACUAGCUAACAGUCUCAAAAACUAUAGAAAACGAACAAAAAGCUUGUGCGUAUAGCUUGUAGCCCUUCUAGCUCUACGUAUAUACUAACUUGUCAAUGUCCAAGCAGCGAGCCCCACCCUUCCUGGUGUUUAGCGAGCCCCACCAAUCUGAACUGUCUAGCUUUUUGUGUGUAUAAAAUCAGUGCACUAGGGAGUUUAUGAGGAGCGGGAGUUUAUGGUAGUUAAACCCCACCCAGUUGCUAUGAUACAGAUCCCAAGUGGGCAGGGUUUCAUCUAGUGGGGGGGGGGUGAACCUCCCCUCCCCCCAAAAUGCUCAUCUACAAAUGUGGGAGUGGCCAAUAACCUUCCCCCCUAACUUUUAAUCCUAGAUGAAACCCUGGUGGGGAAUACAUAUAUAAUUAUUAUAAAUGAAAACAAAGAGUCGGGUGUAGUCUGUAGACUAGUUCAUCAAAAAUUAUGCUGUGUGCUUGCAUGCAGAAGGAGCUGGUCUAGACACCGUCUAGAGCUAGCUGUGUUGUUCUUUCUGGCUGGUUGCUGCAGUAGGUACGUGGAGGGAGGGACUGACUAAUUGCACAGAGAGGGAGAGUGGCUCUGUACCGUUCGCUUGGAGGGAGGGGCUGGCUGCUCAUAUUCUGGAGCCAGAGGAGGAACGCCAGGGUCAAUAGAGUCACGUUUAAUGAAGGAUUAAACAUUCUUGUUCUGGCCUUUGCUGCAUAUAGCAGCUUAGCGCUUCUGUUCUUUAUUUGCCUGCUUGGAAAGCUUACUAUACCUAGAUCUAUCCAGUGCAGCAAGCCAGUACAUCAAAAUUUAUACCCUAGCCACGGAAGGCUAAUUUCCAUAUCUUGUGGUUUUGAAGAAUGCAAUAAAAGGUCAAAGGUUUCAAUUAAAUCCUGGAUCUCCUCUCUCAAGCUGAUUCCUUUGGGGCGCAAUAGCUCAACCGAUUUCUGUUGUGAUUAUAAAGAGGAUCAAGCUAUUGAUGGUGUAUAAACUCAGGGGCACGAGGGUAAACUCAGUUUUACAUGUAAAACAUAGGGCCACGUGGUGUUUUAAUUAGUGACCUUUUGACACUGGCAUUCCUCCUCUGUUCUGGAGCCCUGGUACAUGGUGUGGACGAGCUCUCUUUUUCCCUAGUUGUCAUAAAUGAAAACAAAGACUCUGGUGUAGUCUGUUUGAAUAGUGUUGCUGUGUGGUAGUCAUGCAUGCACGCUAUAUAGCUGGAUGCAUAGCGACCAGUCAGCCAAUCAGAUGAGACAUAUAUCAGUUAAUGCACAGUGCCUCAGGGUUUACUGUCAUAAACCCCUCUACACUGUAAUUAACUAAUACAUAUCCACUCCUGAUAUAUCCUGUUUUCAUGCAGUUGCUAGGAUAUGGCCAGGGGAUAACUAUGUUAUAGUUAUUGACUACGCCCGAGGCUGAGGUUGGUUAUAAACCAUAAUUACUAGGCAACCAAUCAACAACUGAUUUAUUUACAGCAAAACAGUCAUCAAUGGAGGCAGUCAAGCUUGCUCUCACAGCCACUUUUGUGCUCAGAACAGUUACAGCUGUCAAGUAUGAGAGCUAGCUACUUCUCCAAGCAGCUAGGUUCUACUGGAAGCCAUAAACUUUAACCAGACGCAGCUGCCGUUUUCAAUUUGCAUUGCACAAGUCUACCAACACUGCAUGCACUGUACUCCUCUACCUCUGAGCCACAGCCUUGACUAGAAACACACAGCAAGGAUUGAUCUGCAGUGUUUCAAGCCUCAUGAACAUGUAAUAAGUAGCUUAGGCUGCUAGCUAGCUCAGGUGAAUAUGACAAUAGCACAAAACAUAGUCUACAAAAACUUUUUGCAUGCUGUAUUGCUAUUUACUGUGUACAAAUUGUUAAGAUGAUUCAAAAGUUGAAUAGUGCUUGUAGGAAGUAAAAAUAUGAGCCAUAUUCCAUACUUCCCUGGGGGAAGUAAAAUAUGGCUCAUAUUCACUGGAAAUCACCUAGGAUACCGAGUGAAUAAAUAGGAUAAUUCCCUCUGAUAUUCCCCAGACAUGUUUGCUACAAGAUCAUGUAUUGUCUACUUUGUAAUUUGUACAGGCUGCCAUAUUAAAAUCAAUGUUUGGUUGCUUUACUGUACUAGUGCUGUAGCUAGUCAAAGAUAGUGAGGAGAUGAUAGUGAGGCACUUGAUAAGAGAUUCUCAAGCUAGAGAGCCCAAGUGCUAGUGGGAGCCUUGGCACAACUCUGCCUUAGUUGAGCGGAGUCCAACCACUUGCAGUGGUUCGGUCUCACGACAAUAUACGUCUCACGACAACAUGCGUUUUUGUUCCAACUGCAGAAAACUUGCAGUUUGCAGCGUUAAAGAGAGAAACCUUACAGCUCAAUUUAGCUGACAAGGCAAGAUGGCUCACUGUAUUUCUCCAGAGAUGCAGCAACAGCAUGAACAGCUCCUGCCAGAUAUCUAGGCUACUAGAAAAGAACCAUGGUCUAUCUUACUAUCUAUAAAUGAGCUUGAACAGUUUGAAGUUGUAGAUUCUUUGUAUUAAAAGGACUUGUCUUCGUUUUGAGUUUUGGUGUACUACCAAUAAGAUUAAUUUGGACAAAACCUGUGUUAUGUGUGCCUUCUCUGGUAAUCGAACAUCUUUUCCAGAAGCCUAUAGGGUAGUCUUAUAGCUCUCUUUGUGCGAGAUCUAGCUAUUAUGAAAAAAGGUUAUUUCUGCCUCUACUAAAUCUUGUUUUACAGGCUGAAGUAUCCUUCCACUUUCUCUAAGAACUCUGAGGUCUUUCUUGCACCCUAAAACAGUUAUAGCUAUAGAUCUAGUCAAGCAUACAAAUAAUUAUUGAUUUCUUUAUAUCGUACCCCUGAGCCAUGCGGUUGUCAGCCACUUGAGAUUAAACAAUAUUCAUACUCUGCCUCAAGUACCAGUGGAACAAAAACGUAUAUUGUCGUGAGACCCAACCGCUGGCAAAGCGUGGUUGGACUCCGCCCAACUAAACUCUGCCUUGGCACUGCGCACUGUCUGGCUCCAGGUCUGUGGGUAUGGGUGGAUUUAGCAGUUUUGUGAGGCUUUAGUCAUGGAGGAGCCAAGGCAGGGCCAAGAGUGUUAGCUAGAUCAGCAUUUCUUGGACAGCGUGGCAAUAAAGAACUCUGGUGUCCAACAGUAAGCAAUAGUACCUGUAGCUACCUAGCUAUUGACAGCUAUAGAGCAAGCUUUUCCACAAUGCUUUCUUUUUACUUUCUGAUAGUUUGGAACGUGAGUUACCAUGGUAGAGGAGUAAAUACGCAAUUAUAGCUAAUUGGGUAUGGCCCCACCCUGGACGCGAACGUACGGUUGGGCACCACUGCAAUGUCAGGUUUGUUCCUGCUGCACAAAAUUUGCAGCCCAAUCAGAUUGCAGAGUUCAAGUGUGAAGGCGUGGCUCAUUAAUGUACGAGUCAGUCAUUCUCUCAAAAUGCAACAAUAGUAGACAAGCCAGCUUGAUCCAGGAACACGCCAGGUCAGUUAGAGCUAGUGGUAUUCAAAAGUGACUCCUGCAGUAGCAUUCUAACUGAGCUUUGCGGUUACCGCACACUUGGAAUUAAUCCUUUCAUGCUUAGCCACACCCUAAAGCUAAGUACCGAUGGAACAAACCUGACAUGCCCAACCAUACGUUCGCGUCCAGGGUGGGGCCACGCCCAACUAAAUUAUAGCUAGCCAAUCACGUAGGAUAUAUAACACUCAUACUAUGGUUGCUAGGGAUUUAUGGCAACGUAAACCACACCUCACACCUCUCCCUCAGGCUCCGCCCUCAUACUUGGUGGGUUUACUGCCAUAAAUCCCUAGAACCAUAGUAUAACUAUACAUAUAUCCGGUGUGGAUAUAUAUAUCAUGCUGUCCUCUGACACCAAGGAAUAUUCAUUGAAACUCUCAGGAUACUCCAGGGUACAAAUCCCAUGUACCCUGCUAGGGUGUACAUUCAUGUACCCUAGGGUACAUUGGCUGUGGUCAGCCUAAAGCCCACCCUCCACCCUUAAAGGAGCCACUCUUUUAUAGAACACUACUGUGACACACUAUGAUCACAUUGUGAAGACCAAUUCUUCAAUAUCCAUCACUAAAACUACCCACCACAUUGGAACUGGGUUGUGUGAAGUUGUAAAUGUGGUUUGUCAAGUGCAAGCACACCACACAAAAUGUGCACAGUGCAUGCACGGCAGGGAUCAAAGAAUGAUGUUUAACCCUUUCCCCGCUUUAGCCGCCUAUAGGCGGCAUGGCUACUGCUAAUUUUCAAAAAAUGAUUGUGCAGGCUGUGUUUGGAGCUAUGCACACGCUGUAGGUACCAGCACAUGCGCACUGAGCUGCUCUUUCACGUGGUAUUUUCAUUGUGCUGCCUCGAGGUACGCUUCAUACUGUAUUGUCGAAAGAAAAGUGACCAAAGUAAUAAUUGCUACAAGAUCUUCGUAGGUAAUCUUAGCGAGGCUCUAGUGCAAGACAGUGAGGAUAUCGAUACCUAUGGCCUUGUUGAGUCAGAGGGGAGUGACUGGGAUCAUAGCCAGAUAGGAAGCUACUCCUCAGAGUUCAAGCUAGAAAAUAAAGAGCCUGAAGAUCCAGAGGAAGAAGCUCAUGAAGCUCUUGAGAAGGACCAAGUUCCUGGACCUGGUGAAGAAAACAUUUCCCGGGAAAAGAGCGUCUGCCGAUACGACCUCAUGAACCAUGUCACCGUGAGAACACUUGCCUGUAGUCACUUUGUGCCUUCAUACAAUAUUGUUUGUGUACAUAAUUGAAUGUUUGUAAACAAU